GGACAGGGAGAGAGACAUGGAGCUGCUUUCUCCGGCAGCGGCUGCGAUCGGCUUCAGAGAGCGGCGCUUGGAGCCGGUACCCAGGGAGUUCCGCACUCAAUAGACUUGACAACUGCUGGUUGGGAAGAUGGUUGGUCAGCCAGAGAGAUAACGGUCAGGAGCCUUCAAUAAAUCCUGCUGCCAGCUUCUGGCAACAAAUGGCCACAAACCGAUCAAAGGUGAAAGUGACGGUGAACCAGACAGAGCAGUCAGUGGCUGCAUAAAGCAGGACGGCGUGGAUAUUACACACGGGGACGGAGUACACCAGGAAAUAAAACUGUUCCUGAUAAACAAUGGGAAUGUGUCUCAGGAUCAGGUCGAGGAUAAUGACCAGGAGAUCCGCCGCUGCCAUGGCCCCCAGGUAUCUGUGUUAGCUGUUUGGAUACAGAAUUGGCUGGCCAGCAGAAGACAGCGAGUGGUAGUGGAAG
Hemiscyllium ocellatum (epaulette shark) is the source of this 467-nucleotide long non-coding RNA. RefSeq lists it as uncharacterized. The transcript has 4 exons. The record is from RefSeq and is a predicted model, not a curated record. NCBI's taxonomy places the organism in Eukaryota, Metazoa, Chordata, Chondrichthyes, Orectolobiformes, Hemiscylliidae.